GAUGAAGAACGCAGCGAAAUGCGAUAAGUAAUGUGAAUUGCAGAAUUCAGUGAAUCAUCGAAUCUUUGAACGCACAUUGCGCCCGCCAGUAUUCUGGCGGGCAUGCCUGUUCGAGCGUCAUUUCAACCCUCAAGCCCUCGGGUUUGGUGUUGGGGAUCGGCGAGCCUUUCUGGCAAGCCGGCCCCGAAAUCUAGUGGCGGUCUCGCUGCAGCCUCCAUUGCGUAGUAGUAAAACCCUCGCAACUGGAACGCGACGCGGCCAAGCCGUUAAACCCCCAACUUCUGAAUGUUGACCUCGGAUCAGGUAGGAAUACCCGCUGAACUUAAGCAUAUCAAUAAGCGGAGGA
Molecule: unclassified non-coding RNA, 346 nt
Filed under: soil metagenome
Description: partial contains 5.8S ribosomal RNA, internal transcribed spacer 2, and large subunit ribosomal RNA
Rfam family: 5.8S ribosomal RNA (bases 1-120)
Source: RNAcentral